Molecule: ribosomal RNA, 253 nt
Filed under: uncultured bacterium
Lineage: Bacteria
Description: partial 16S ribosomal RNA
Rfam family: Bacterial small subunit ribosomal RNA
Source: RNAcentral
UACGUAGGGUGCAAGCGUUGUCCGGAAUUAUUGGGCGUAAAGCGCACGUAGGCGGCUUGGCAAGUCGGAUGUGAAAGCCCUCGGCUCAACCAAGGAAGUGCAUCCGAAACUGCUGAGCUUGAGUACUUAAGAGGAUCGCGGAAUUCCCGGUGUAGAGGUGAAAUUCGUAGAUAUCGGGAGGAACACCAGUGGCGAAGGCGGCGAUCUGGGAAGAUACUGACGCUGAGGUGCGAAAGCGUGGGGAGCAAACAGG